CCUACGGGUGGCAGCAGUGGGGAAUAUUGCACAAUGGUCGAGAGCCUGAUCCAGCAACGCCGCGUGAGGGAAGAAGGGAUUCGGCUCGUAAACUUCUAUCAACCGGGACGCAAGAAAUGACGGUACCUGCAUAAGAAGCCCCCGCUAACUACGUGCCAGCAGCCGCGGUAAUACGUAGGGGGCAAGCGUUCUCCGGAAUUGCUGGGUGUAAGGGGUGAGUAGGCGGCAUGGUAAGCCAGAUGUGAAAGCCUUGGGCUUAACCCGAGGACUGCAUUUGGAACUAUCAAGCUAGAGUACCGGAGAGGAAAGCGGAAUGCCUAGUGUAGCGGUGAAAUGCGUAGAUAUUAGGAAGAACACCAGUGGCGAAGGCGGCUUUCUGGACUGAAACUGACGCUGAGGCACGAAAGCGUGGGGAGCGAACAGGAUUAGAUACCCGAGUAGUU
Molecule: ribosomal RNA, 443 nt
Filed under: uncultured bacterium
Lineage: Bacteria
Description: partial 16S ribosomal RNA
Rfam family: Bacterial small subunit ribosomal RNA
Source: RNAcentral